Long non-coding RNA from Chinchilla lanigera (long-tailed chinchilla), 342 nucleotides. RefSeq lists it as uncharacterized. NCBI's taxonomy places the organism in Eukaryota, Metazoa, Chordata, Mammalia, Rodentia, Chinchillidae. The record is from RefSeq and is a predicted model, not a curated record. The transcript has 2 exons.
AAGACUCAUUGAGGCAGCUAUCAAGACAUCUCGGUGCUUACUUCUGGCAAGAUCCUGGCUAGAGUUCUCUUGGACAGACUACAGUGCAGCCUCGCCAACCUGGUUCAGAACGCCAAAGGACCUAGGAUUCCUCAGCAGAAUCUCUCACCUGGGAUGCUGGCAGCCACGUCAUCCACUCCAUCACUUGAAAUGCCUGAGAAGUAUGCAGCUUUUCAGGAAGAUAUUCUUGGAACUUGAAACCAAGUGGUUGCCUCAGUGACCUCCGAUUAUUUCCAAUUAGCAGUUUGGACUUUCUCCCACAGUUGCUUCAUUGUGCUUAGUAAACUGGUGGUUUAUGCUUGA